This 34526-nucleotide long non-coding RNA is filed under the name Vitis vinifera (wine grape). RNAcentral's name for it is "long non-coding RNA (VVIN_LNC001268)". Lineage: Eukaryota; Viridiplantae; Streptophyta; Magnoliopsida; Vitales; Vitaceae. The record is from RNAcentral.
CCAGAAGACUAAUCCAGAAAAAUAAAGUUUCCGAUGCCAAGAAACUGAAUGACAUAAAAAGAGACAUGGCCCAGCUAGAAUGGUAUAAGAAGAAAUCGGAAAUGGGUUACUACGAUUGCUUCAAAAACCAGGGGUCUAAAAGGGACCUCAACGUUGAACAGUUUAGGGGAAACCUCACAAUGUACUGGGAAGACAUGGUUGCACAAGUACAGAGGAAGCCCCAGGAGGAAGGAGCAACAUUUCGAACCCGUUGGUUCUAUGCAGGGACAGUUUAUAGGAGAAUGGUUGAACCACUGGACAUUGCUGCCUUCUAUAGAGAGGGUGGAACAGACUACAUAAACAAUGGAAGAUCUCUUCAUUACAAGCUGUUGCAGCAAUGGUAUGAAGAAGAUGUGAAACCCCCCUCUAGAGAUAAGCUUGAUUCCAAGAAGCAAAAGGUGUCUGGUAUCCUAACUGAGGAUUCUUUGUUUUGGGCACAUGUGGAGGAGGCCAUCUUGUCAUGCGAAUUGCUCAAGAGUAAAAACUGUACUCUUGAGCAGGGAAAAUCAUCAUGGGAUAAUCUAGUUAAGUUCGAGGAGUAUGUAAUGGAACAGAUUAACAACUAUGCAGCGUCCCCUGAGAUUUUCUUGCGGGAAAGCAGCUUCAUGAAAUGGUGGGGACUGUAUGAGGGCUACAUAGAUACUUGCAGUAAUUCCCAUGGGUCGCAAUUGAUCAACUUCAUGAAGAAACGUAGCUAUAUGAAGUAUGGUUAGAGGGGCAAUCCAGUUUGUGUGUUGUGUUUAUUGUUUUGUGAGCGUUCAAUGGAUAAAACUAGAAAGAGUGUGACCUUUUUCCCUUUUUCUUGGUUGCUGCCCAUAUUCUCAGCACUAUUUUCUUCCUUCUUUUCCUCUGUUUUUUUUGAUAGGAAAUGAAUAUUAUGAUGUUGCUGGGAUGCACUUNNNNNNNNNNNNNNNNNNNNNNNNNNNNNNNNNNNNNNNNNNNNNNNNNNNNNNNNNNNNNNNNNNNNNNNNNNNNNNNNNNNNNNNNNNNNNNNNNNNNAGGGGAAGAAAAACAUGUUUGUUUAGAUUCAACUCCACCAAAACUUGCAACAACUUCCCAUUGAAAAUUUCCUUUUAAGCUUCUGACUGACAUAAAACUAGAUAUGUUCCAGCUAGAACGGUACAAGAAAGAAAUCAAAAGAUGAGCACAAGUAGAGAGGAAGCCUCACCAGGAAGGGGCAGCUUUGCAAACCCUCUGGCUCUGUACAGGAACGAAUUAUAGAAAGAUGGUUGAACCACUUGACAUUGCUGCCUACCACAGAGAGGGUGGAAGACACUACAUAACCAAUGGAGGAUCUAAACAUUACACGCUAUUGGAGCAAUGAUGCAAUGAAGAGGAGAAGGGGGCUUUGUCUUCUCAUGCAAAUUGCUCUCAGAGCUCAGAACCUACUCCUGAAGGGAAAGAAUCAUCAUGGAGUGAUCUGGUUAAGUUUGAGGAUUUAUUUAUAUAAUUGAACUGAUUGGAAGCUAUGCAGUGUCGGCCCCCGCCCGAGCAGCUUCAUGAAACGGUGGAAAGAGUUGGAAGAAGUCAUAGAUACUUGCUAUAGGAGCUUCAUGAAGUAUGGAGAGGUGUGGCAUAGAUACUUGCAGUCUCUGAAUUUCCCAAAUCCAAUUUCAGAUUGUGUUUUUAGAUUCGUGGAACUUGUUUUCGGGCUUUUUGUUAGGUACAAUUGAGAUGGGCUGAACCGAAAGGCCCGCCAGGAUGAACAAUAUAAUGGGCCUGAAUUUUAAACCAGUGGAUGGGUUUUGUACUGGAUUCAGCUGUCUGAGCCCAAUGAGUAUUGAAUGUGUUUCUGUAUAAAAUUAAAUUUUUAACAUUGAAAUAUAAGGACUUACUUAAAAACACAUUUGGUAACUUUUUUUUUUUUUGGUUAAUAAUAAAUUUUUUUAAAAAAAAUUAAAAAUAUAUAAUUUUUUUAGAAUAAAUUUGAGGCAUGUUUAGGUAUUUUUUGUGGUAAAGAGUUUUGAGAAGCAAUGAGAAAUAUACAGAAUACUUUAAAAACUUUUGCAUAAGUAAGAUACUUACACGAGGCUUUUAUGAAAAAUAAAUCGAUAAAAACAAUUUUUAUAUUUGAAUUUCAAAACAUAAAACAACUUAGAACUGUUUUUAAAAACUGUUCUUAAAAAUAGUUUUCUAUUAACUCACAUUCAAGGAUGCUUUUAUCUUUUAUUUUUCUAUGUUUCAUCCUUGCAUAAAUGGAGUACAAAGUCGUAAGUUAAUCUAAUUAACAAAUAUAGAUAAUCAUCCGAUAAAUGAGUAAAUUAGGUGAUGAUCUCUUUAUAUAUGCAAGUAAUGGAAUGAAUGUGAUAAAAAAAUAAAAUAAAAAAGUAAGGGGAGAAAUGUUGUAAAUAAAAUGUUUUUAUUGUGGUUCAACGACCUAUCCACUUCCACACCUUGACAUAUUUCACAAUUUUAAAAGUUUUUUUAAUCAUGAUUCUCCUUAUUGUUCUUUAAGUCUGGAUUUCUUAAGUUUCAAUAGACUUUUACAAUCACUAAGAUGACGUUUGUUUUUUCACUUAAUUCUAAAUAUAAGUUAAAACUAAAUAAUAUUUAAUAAUAUCAAGUAUUAGGUUGUUUUUUUUAUAACAUUUUAUUUCUAUAUAAUAUUAAAAAGUAAAGAAAAAUCAGUAUGUUUUUUUUUUAUUUAAAAAAAGUCAAAUAUUUUGACUUUUUUUUAAGCUAAAAAUUUAUAAUAAAAAAUAAAAAAUAAACAAACAAACAAACAACUUGAAGUGUAAAAACAGAUUGUUUUCAAUAAAAAUUUUAAAAAAUAAACACCUUAUAAAUAAAAUUCCUUAACCACUCGUACAAUAGCUUCUUUAAGCACAAAAUGUAUUGAAGCGCUCACAAUGAAAAGAUAAACAAGUUUGGAUUUAAUAUAAUUUUGGGUUAUCUAAUUAAAAAGGUGUAGACCCCCGGAGGCAGACAGUUUUUUUAGUUAUUAUUAUUAUUUGUUUAUUUUUAAUUUUUCCUACCUUUUUCUUCCCAAGCCGCUCGACAUGAUGGGACUAAAGUGGGCUGGUUUUUGGGGCAGAGAGGGGACUCAAGUGGGCGUUUUUUUUUUUUUUUGGGCGGCAGAUGGGAUGGUGUACGGGGGAUGGCUUGUGGAGGAAGACUCAAAACAGGGGAAGGAAGCGAAAGAAAGGCAGGAAAAAAAGUGUUGGAGGACGGGGGGGAUACCUUGCUCAAGGAGAAAACUUUCAGGUAAAAUUUUCUGUGAACUCCAUGUUUCUUCGUUAUGACAUUAUUGUGCUCACUUCUUUUGUUGAUUCCAGGAUGUGAUUUGUUGGUCGGUUUGGAUGUCAUGGAUUAUUGGUUUAUUUUUGCUGAAUUUAUCCGUGUGCGGAGGUGCUCUGUUUGACUCUAUUCUGGUUUCCCUAACUCCUUCCAUAAGCACCUGAAUGUAUGAAUUCAUCCCUGAGCCCGAUUAUAUAAAAAUCAUGCUUUGUUCCCUGUGGUUUCUUCCCUCUGUUUGUUGCUCUAUUCCUUGUUGGUUGUGGGAAUGAGGUCAUCGAUGGCCAGGUUAUCGAAACUGGGGAAGUGACUUCGUGAACGGAUCACCUUCUAUGCACCCAUCUCAUCUUUCUCAUUCACUCAUCACGGCUACACUUCCAUGAUUACACCAUCCUCAGUCAAAUACAUAUCUCCAUACCCAUUUUUCACCUUUCCCGUACCUUCCUCACCUAUCCAUCACACCCAUCGUCAUAUCUAGUUCAUCACUAACCCAUUUUCCUCUCGCCAGCCGUGGUUAUGCUUCGUCCAUCUCAUGCAUACGAUCCCUCACUACUAUUCCUAUAUUCUCAUCCUUCCAAACUCCUCAACACAACACCUAACCCUCAUACCUGCACCCCGCCAUGCCCGCGCCUAGCUCACCCCCAUAGGAACCUCAAAGCCGUUCGCCUACUUGCAUGGGAGCCAUGCAUGCCGCCCCUCCCCGCGUCUUCCUGCACCGGCUAUGUGCGCGCCUGCACCAGCCACCAAUGGCGGCAGCGCCUUCUGGACGUCGCCAGGCCGCUGCCACCUGCUCCGGCAACGCGCGCGCCUGCACCAGCAGCCAUGGCGGCGGCACCUUCUGAACGUCACCAGACCGCCGCCACGGCUCCCCUCUUCCCCGCGCCGCCGCUGCUCCUCUUUUCCCCGCGCCGCCAUGGCUCUCCUCUUCAUCGUGCCGCCGGUGGAGUCUUCGCGGGUGGAGAGGCAAUUGGUGAAGAGAAGCUUUGCCCAUGAUGGUUUUUGGGCUUGGGUUUGAACUGGGAACCCAGGCCCAAGCCUAUGAAGAGAAGCCCAGGUUUAUGAAGGCUUUAAUUGCCUUGGGCUUGCCCAUUAAUAUCAUAUGGAUUGGGCUUGAUGAGGAUGGGGCUUAUUGGUGGAUUUGGGCUUGACUAGGUUUGGGCUUUAUUAGGGUUGCUGAUGGACUGGGUUUGGGCUCUAUUAUUAUUAUUAAUUCAACAUUUAAAAUACUAUUAUUAUCAUUGUUAUUAAUCAAACUUUUAAAAAUCUUAUUAUUACUAUUAUUAUUAUUACGUUUAUCAUUAUUAUUAUUUCUAUUCAACAUUUAAAAUAUUAUUAUCAUUAUUAUUAUUAAUUCAACAUUUAAAAUAUUAUUAUUAUCACUAUCAUUAAUCCAAACUUUCAAAACCCUAUAAUUAUUAUUACUAACCCAAAUUUCAAAAUCUAUUUAUUUAUUAUUAUUUAUUAUUAUCAUUAAUCCAAAUUUCAAAAUCUAUUUAUUAUUGUUAUCCUUAUCAUUAAACCCAACCUCCAAAAUCUCAUCAUUAUCAUUAUUAUUAAUUCAAACUUUCAACACCUAUUUAUUAUUAUUUAUUAUUAUCAUCAGUCCAAACCUCCAAGAUCUCAUCAUUAUUAUUAUAAUUAACUCAACUUUCAAAAUUUAUUUAUUAUUAUUAUCAUCAUUAAUCCAAGCUUUCAAAAAUCUCAUCAUUAUUGUUAUUAUUACCUCAACUUUCAAAAUCUUAUUUUUAUUAUUAUCAUUGAUUAAAACUUUCAAAACCUUAUUAUUAUUAUUAAUUCAAACUUUCUAACUUCCAAUUUCCAAGCCCAAUUUAUAAAAAUUCAACCUUCAAAUGAUACUCCAAAAUUCCGAUCUUUAAAACUCAAUUUCGAUUUCCGAAAAUUCUCAUACUCACUUUAAUCUAUUUAAUUAUUGUUAUUUUGAUUAUUUAUUUCAAAACCCCAUUUCAAAUCAAAUUCUCUAAAACUUCUGAUUCUCGAAUUAAAUUCCUAAUCCCAAAAAUUCUCAUGUUCGCACUAAAUUAUUUGAUCAUUGAUAUUUUAUUUAUUUAUUUAUUUCAAAACUCCAUUUUAAAUCAAAUUCUCUAAAACUUCUGAUUUCCGAAUUAAACUCCUAAUCCCAAAAAUUCUCAUGUUCUCAUUAAUUUAUUUAAUCAUUAGUAUUUUAUCUCCAUUUUAAAUCAACUCUUUAAAACUUCAGAUUUACAAAUUAAAUUCCUAAUCUUGAAAAUUCCCAUAUUCACAUUAAUUUAAUCACUAAUAGUUUGUUUAUUUAUCUUAAAAUUCUAUUUUAAACAAUUCUUUAAACUUUCUAACUUCUAAAUCUAAUUUCCAAUUUCAAAAAUUCCAGCAUUCCAUUCAUUUAUUUAAUCAUUAUUUUCGUCCUUAUUAUUAUUAGUCCAUUUAUUUACUUCAAAAUUUCAUUUUUAAACAUUUUUUUGAAUCCCAAUUUUCGAACUUAAUUUCCAAUUUCUAAAAUUCUAAUUUCCUUCAAGUUUGACAUCCCAAAAUUCCAACUCUUAAAUUUAAUUCUCAAGACUCCAAUCUUCAAAUAAUUUUCGAGACUCCAAUUUCCAAAUAAAUUUCAAAAAUUCAAUUUUCUCUCUAACAGUUUUAAUUCUCUUCGGGUUUCAAAUAAUCUUCGAUUUCUCUUGAUUUUAUAUAAACAUGAAUGCUAUUUUCAUAAUUCCAGAAUAAUGGGAUUUGUGAUAUUAAUUCCUGCAAAAAUGAAUGGGCUUUGGUGGGGGCCCAACAUACGUGCUUUCCUCAUGAUUGAUUGAUUGUUUGAUUGAUUUAAUUGCCAUGCGUGCUUGAUUUUAUUCUGCUCUAUGGCAUGCCCGAAAUUAUCCUUUAAUUGUGCACUAACCUCACUUUUUGAUAAGCGCAUUGUGGCUCGUCACCCAGGUACGUAUCUAUCCCCAUUCUGAUAUUUCCAUAUACAUGUUUUGAUUCUCCUAUGUGCAUGAUAGUUCCGGGUAUUCAUUGUUUUUCCUCAUCAAUUGCCAUGAUUGCUUCAUUUUAUUAGUAGAGACCCAUUUAGGGACUUAGAGGGGUGCUACGGUUCAUACCGUACCUUCCUGAUAAGUAACCUGACCCUCGGACCCGAUCCGGUUUUUCACAGACCACCUUUUCCAAAGUAAGGAGUCACACUUAGGGUUUUUCUUUCUUAUUUUGUUUACCCUUUUAAAAAUAAAACAAAAAUAAGUGGCGACUCCAAGUCAUUUUCUUAAACAAUAAAAAAUCAAAUUUUCAAAUAAAAAUCGAGUCCGCCAUUGAGUGGGAAACGCAUGAGCCGAAAUGCGGGGUCCACAAAAGGUCAUUGAAAACCCAAUUUUAGAAAUAUAACCCUUCAUCAUUUUUUUUAUCUCAUGUUAACAAAAAUGCUCUUAUUAUUUUCUUAUAAAAAUAAUCAUUUCUUUUAAAACACACUAUAAAUACUCCAAAUAGUCAGGGGCUUUUAUGUAUAAAAAAAUGAAUUACUCUUUAAAUAAAAAUAUUGGAGGGAAUAAAUUAACAAAUAUGAGGUAUUUCAUCCCUUUUAUCUAAUUAUUUCUAUAAUUUUAAGAGUUUAAGAAGGCUAGACAAAGACUAAUUAUUAGGCACAUUUUGUAAAAACACUAGUUAUUAGACACAUUUUUCGCUCAAUCAAUCAAUCACGGAGUUGACUAGACACUAAUUAUUGGACUUUUUUUUUUUUUUUUUUAUAAUAAGUGAAAGACAAGAAUACAAUCGACUACUUUGGUCAAUUAAACAAUCAUUCAGUUGACUAUAAACUAAUCUUUAGAUUUUUUUUUUUAUAAUAAUUGGAAGACAUGAAUACAAUCGAUUACUUUGAUUAAUUAAUCAAUUAUUCAAGAAAUUUAGAAAAAUAUUGGAUAAAAGAUAUAUAUAACGGAUUAUUUCAAAUUGAAACUUAAGAUUAUAAAUCUUACUUUUAAUGUUGAAAAAUCAUGUAAAACACAAGUUUUUAUCUUUGAAGUAAUCAAUUUCAUUUUUCACAAAAAAUCAUUAAUAAUGCAUGAAUGAAUUCUUUUAAAAAAUCUUAUAAAAAAUGUGAUUAUUUUUCAUUCCCAAAUACUUAGGUUCUAAAGAUCAAUUUUAAAGCAUACUUAUCCUUACUAUGCCUUACAAGAAAAUCUAUUCUAUACAUAUGAUCUUGUAAAAAAAUGUAAAUAAAAAAAUAAAAUAAAAUAAAAAGAAAAAAAAAAGCCUCUCUUGUUUUCCUCUUUUGACUGGAUAUCAUUACCAUACCUAAAAUUAAAUAUUUAAUUAAAAUAUUAUUUUACUAUCAUCAAAAUUUAGAUUUAACCAAACUUUAGGCUAGUAUGUUGAUACGAUAAGUUAAUUUUCUAUCUUAAAGUUUUAAAAACUUUUGAAAUUAAACAUUUUCUUACACAUUUAUUUUUAAAGUUUUUUAGCAUAAAAUUUAAAAUUGAAGCUUUUAAGGGAAAACCUCAUAAUAUAAUAUACUAGAAAGACAUGGUCAAACAAAUAGAGACGAAGCCUCAAAAGGAAGGGGCAAUGGUUGAACCACUUGACAUUGUUGCCUACUACUAAGAUGGUGUAAGAAACAACAUAACCAAUGGAACAUAUGCACAUUAAACAUUGUACAAUUAUUAUAAAUGUCUUAUACAUUAUGUGUGAAAAUACGAAAUAAAUAAAUAAAAUUAUAUUCAACAUUUAUAUUUGUAUACAAACAAUAUUUUCGAUAGUUUGAUAUAAAAAAACAAAUAAAAAAAUGAAGAAAAGCAUAUAAAUAUAUUUUCAAUGGACAAACUUAUUCAAUUAGUAUAAAUAUCUUGUAUAUUUAAUACAAAUACCUUAUACUUUGUGAAAAUGUAAAAAUAUAGUAUUUGAUAUUUAUAAAUGUGGGUAAGUAAUUUUUCUAAUGGUUUGAUUUAAAAAAAAAAUAAUGAGAAUCAAGAAAUACAUGCAAAUAAAUUAGUGUGAAUGAUAAAGGAUGUUUUUUUACCAUAAAUUUUCAUGGACUUAGCAUCAAUUAUGCAUCUAUAGAUGUUAACCCAAUUAGCAUAAUGUGAAAACCCUUACACACAAUAUAUAAACCCUAUACUUGAAUUAGGAAGGACAAAAAAAAAAUAGUUAGAGCAUUUGGUACCAUCAAUGAUGACUUCACCUAAAGAAAAGUUAAUGAACAUUAUGUUCUCAAUGGAAGAGCAACCCUAGUAGGACAUAUGGAGUAAAUUGAUGCUCUUCUUUCGACAACGAAGUAGCUAAGUCAUGAAAAUGGGGUUUUGCUAACAACAUUAAAUGCAAGAAUUCCCCAAUAUACUGCAAUUCAUAUUCAAUUCAUAGACUUUCAACUAACUACUCUCAAUAACGAGCAAACCCAAGUCAAUACAUAAGAUUGAUUAUUACUUAUGAUAAUUGAAACCAUAAUUAAUAAGACAUAUAUAUAUAUAUAUAUAUAUAUAUAUAUAUAUAUAUAUAUAUAUAUAUAUAUAUAUAUAUAUAUAUAUAUAUAUAUAUAUAUAAAAAAAAUAGAGACAAUUGUGUUUUGGAUCCAGGUGGAUCAAAAAAUAAGGUUUGGUUUAUAGAACUUACAUAAUUGAUGGAAAUGAUAUAAGUUAUCAAAAGACCAAAAUACUCAUUGACCUUUCACGUAAGUUUUUUUGGUCUUUAUUGUACCACUAUUCAUGCAACCAUAAUAAUUUUAUUUUAACUAUUUGGAUUUUUCAUUGUUUUUUAAAACUUUUUUUUUUAUAAAUAAUUGAAAAUCAACAUUAUUUUCUAUUUUAAAUUAUAAAUAAAGAAAAAUUACGUUCAAAAACUAUUUUAAAAAAUACUUUCUAAAAAAAUGGUAAUAUGAUUUAUAUUUUUUACAUUUUCUAUUAGAAAAAAAUAUUUAAUUAAAAAUGAAAAAUAAUUUUUAAAAAUAAAAAUUGAAAACCUUGUUUAGUACUAUUUUUUUAUAUGAAAAUAAUAAAAAUAAUUAAAUUUCAUUAAUUGAUUAUCCAUUAAAUUUUAUAUGAAAAUUUUUUAUAAGAGUAAAAAGAUUCAAUAUCUUUAAAAAAAGAAAAAAAAAACAAAACAAAACAAUAAGUUAGAAAUGAGUAAUACUUAAUUGGGAAUAGAAAAGGGGAAAAAAUUGAAAUUUACACUCAUUAUAUGCCUAUGUAGGGAUUAAAGGUAUUUUAGGGAUUAAUGAAGGAUAAUAUCCUUUAACUUAAUUUUUAUAAUUUAUUUGGGUCUUGACCUUAAAUGUGCAUGAUAUAUGGAUCUUUGGUCAAUUUUUGGGCCCAUUCGGGCCCAAAAUACAAUUCUCCCUACAAAAAUAUUUAUUAAAAUAAAUUAAUUAAUAAAAGCCAUUUAAAGAGUUUCAUAACUUAGUAUCGAAGCUAUUGUAAGAAAAAAGUAUUAUAUAAUGUAGGGUUUAGGUUCAAAGUCUACCUAAGAUUAAAUUUAAGUCUCGAGACAAAUUCACAUUCAAAACUAGGUUUUUAAGUUUGAAAAAUAGAUCCCUUAAACAAAUUAAAUGGUAAAAAAUAAUUACAAAGAAAAUUUCUCUAGCUGGUUUCUUCAUCUUGAAAACUAACGGAAACAUAUAUUAAUAUUUGGUAUGAAAAUUCGUAACCUUAGAAACACAGCUUUGAGUCUUGCUGAGAAAAACAAAGCUUAUUUGCUCGUAGACCAUCGUAGUGGUCGUCAUACCGUGUGAGGACCGGGGAAGCAUCUUUGCUCGUAGACCGGCUUUUGUAGUCUUUCUUUAACAAUUACAAGUUGUCAGGAUUCCCUUCAUCCUCCCAAAUAAUAUUGUUUUUGGUCUUGUUCUGGUUGCAUCUCCGUGGAAGGAAAGAAGAUGAAUCAAGUUCCUUUGUAAGUAUCAAUGUCUCUGAUUCAUUUUUUGGUUCCUAGAAUCGAAUCCUCGCUCUGUUCUUGCUUAAUUUCUCCUUUUUCUGUUGGGUCUUUCACUGCAGGUUUAGCUCUGCACGGGAACUGGCAAAUUUGGUGCUGAGCUCCAAUCUAAUCGACUGUGCUUUCACCAAAAUUCUUGAACUUAAGAGAGGCCAAACAGCCUUGCCUGUUCAAUACAGACUUUAUCAACUGUCUUCCAAGUGCACAAUUGUAGCUUUUGUCUCUUCACCUGACUGCACUCAAUACCCUCUUCCUGGACAAGGAGAUUUAGAUCGGUCUCCUCUCUUUGACUUCCUCCGUACCGAAGAAUACCCGUCCGUCUCCAUUAACAGAGCAGCAUUAGCCCUCUAUACCCCUCUCCAUGAUCAUCUCUCUGGACUAACAGAUGAGGUCAAAAUCUGAUACUUGUUUGAAUUUUCGUUUCCUUUUCGUUAACAAUUGUGAGACACGAAACAGCUUGACCAUGAGAUCUCCCUCAUGGAGUCGAACUACCUGAAGGAUAAGACGUCACACAUAUCCAUUUUCAUGGCAUCGUCACAUGACCCAUUGAUCGGUUGUGAUUCAACUCUUAAUAGGAACACAGUAGAACUGGUGUUGGUAUAUCUGUCUUUAGAUAAGCUUGCAUAUAUCUUGUCACUGAAAAAGGAAUGUUCAGAAGUGAGAUUAGUGGCAUUAUUCUGACAUGGAUUUCAUAUGGUUACUUGUUUUGCAGUUGACUCAGAUUGAAGGUCAGUUAAUCAUCACUGGGCACUCCCUGGGAGGAUCCGUUGCUUCUCUCUUCACCUUACGCCUGCUAGAUGGCAAUUUAUUAAAACCCAAAUGCCGCCCCUUUUGUAUCACCUUUGGUUCACCCCUCAUAGGCGACUUUGGCCUCCAACACUCCAUAUGGAAUUCUUUCUUCCUGCAUGUAGUGUCUAACCAAGACCCAGUCCCCGGACUCUUCCUCCCAUCCGGCAGAUCUCCGCCCACAUCCUCCCAUUCACAAACUACCGGUUACAAGCCCUUUGGGACAUAUCUCUUGUGCUCUGAACUUGGUUGUGCUUGUUUUGACAACCCUGAUUUAAUUUUGGGAUUGCUUAAAGUCAUAUCAUCAGAGGUUGCCGGAGGAUUGCAGGAUGUUGACUAUGGGGAGAUUUUAAGAAACCUCAAGGAGAGGGCAAUCUGCAAGGGACUGCCGCAGGUGGGUGAACGGUUUGCAGAUCCAUUUUCAGCUGGGAUCAUCAUGGAACUUGAGACAAUUGGAUUUAAUCAAACAAAGGUAAACAGCUUUCUCCCAUCUAAUGAUGUUAUGAAACAUGGUUUACACUACACCAAAUACUGCAAUAACUGCCCUAUUCAGAUUUAUCUUCUUGUUCUUUGGGAUCUUCCAUAACUAGUCUCAUUUUUAAAAUUCAUGGCAGUUGCUGCAGCAUAACAUUGAUAUCAACGCUAUGAUAAGAACAAUGGAAGCGGAAACCAGAAGCCUAAUCCAGAAAAAUAAAGCUUCCGAUGCCAAGAAACUGAAUGACAUAAAAAGAGACAUGGCCCAUCUAGAAUGGUAUAAGAAGAAAUCGGAAAUGGGUUACUACGAUUGCUUCAAAAAUCAGGGGUCUAAAAGGGACAUCAACGUUGAACAAUUUAGGGGAAACCUCACAAUGUACUGGGAAGACAUGGUUGCACAAGUACAGAGGAAGCCCCAGAAGGAAGGAGCAACAUUUCGAACCCGUUGGUUCUAUGCAGGGACAGUUUAUAGGAGAAUGGUUGAACCACUGGACAUUGCUGCCUUCUACAGAGAGGGUGGAACAGACUACAUAAACAAUGGAAGAUCUCUUCAUUACAAGCUGUUGCAGCAAUGGUAUGAAGAAGAUGUGAAACCCCCCUCUAGAGAUAAGCUUGAUUCCAAGAAGCAAAAGGUGUCUGGUAUCCUAACUGAGGAUUCUUUGUUUUGGGCACAUGUGGAGGAGGCCAUCUUGUCAUGCGAAUUGCUCAAGAGUCAAAACUGUACUCUUGAGCAGGGAAAAUCAUCAUGGGAUAAUCUGGUUAAGUUCGAGGAGUAUGUAAUGGAACAUAUUAACAACUAUGCAGCGUCCCCUGAGAUUUUCUCGAGGGAAAGCAGCUUCAUGAAAUGGUGGGGACUGUAUGAGGGCUACAUAGAUACUUGCAGUAAUUCCCAUGGGUCGCCAUUGAUCAACUUCAUGAAGAAACGUAGCUAUAUGAAGUAUGGUUAGAGGGGCAAUCCAGUUUGUGUGUUGUGUUUGUUGUUUUGUGAGCGUUCAAUGGAUAAAACUAGAAAGAGUGACCUUUUUCCCUUUUUCUUGGUUGCUGCCCAUAUUCUCAGCACUAUUUUCUUCCUUCUUUUCCUCUGUUUUUUUGUUAAGAAAUGAAUAUUAUGAUGUUGCUGGGAUGCACUUUCAUUGUUGUUCUAUUACAUUGUGUUUUAUUUAUAUCCUAAACAAAUAAAUCAAAACAAGAAAAUCAAAUAAGACUUAAAGAGUCUUUUCCUUCAAAAAAAAAAAUGGGGAAAAAGAAAAACAUUUUUGUUUAGAUUCAACUCCACCAAAACUUGCAACAACUUCCCAUUGAAAAAUUCCUUUUAAGCUUCUGAAUGAUAUAAAACCAGAUAUGUUCCAGCUAGAAUGGUACAAGAAAGAAAUCAAAAGAUGAGUACAGUGGGUUAUUAUGACAGCUUUAGAAACCUGGGGUGUAAAAGAGACAUUAAAAUGGAACCGAUGGGAAGACAUGGUAGAACACGUAGAGAGGAAGCCUCACCAGGAAGGGGCAGCUUUGCAAACCCUCUGGCUCUGUACAGGAACGAAUUAUAGAAAGAUGGUUGAACCACUUGACAUUGUUCCCUACCACAGAGAGGGUGGAAGACACUACAUAACAUUACACGCUAUUGGAGCAAUGAUGCAAUGAAGAGGAGAAGGGGGCUUUGUCUUCUCAUGCAAAUUGCUCUCAGAGCUCAGAACCUACUCCUGAAGGGAAAGAAUCAUCAUUGAGUGAUCUGGUUAAGUUUGAGGAUUUAUUUAUAUAAUUGAACUGAUUGGAAGCUAUGCAGUGUCGGCCCCCGCCCGAGCAGCUUCAUGAAACGGUGGAAAGAGUUGGAAGAAGUCAUAGAUACUUGCUAUAGGAGCUUCAUGAAGUAUGGAGAGGUGUGGCAUAGAUACUUGCAGUCUCUGAAUUUCCCAAAUCCAAUUUCAGAUUGUGUAUUUAGAUUCGUGGAACUUGUUUUCUUGCUUUUUGUUAGGUACAAUUGAGAUGGGCUGAACCGAAAGGCCCGCCAGGAUGAACAAUAUAAUGGGCCUGAAUUUUAAACCAGCGGAUGGGCUUUGUACUGGAUUCAGCUGUCUGAGCCCAAUGAGUAUUGAAUGUAUUUCUGUAUAAAAUUAAAUUUUUAACAUUGAAAUAUAAGGACUUACUUAAAAACACAUUUGGUAACUUUUUUUUUUUUAUGGUUAAUAAUAGAUUUAAAAAAAAAUUAAAAAUAUAUAAUUUUUUAGGAUAAAUUUGAGGCAUGUUUAGGUAUUUUUCGUGGUAAAGAGUUUUGAGAAGCAAUGGGAAAUAUACAGAAUACUUUAAAAACUUUUGCAUAAGUAAGAUACUUACACGAGGCUUUCAUGAAAAAUAAAUUGAUAAAAACAAUUCUCAUAUUUAAAUUUCGAAACAUAAAACAACUCAGAACUGUUUUUAAAAAUUGUUCUUAAAAAUAGUUUUCUAUUAAGUCACAUUCAAGGAUGCUUUUAUCUUUUAUUUUUCUAUGUUUCAUCCUUGCAUAAAUGGAGUACAAAGACAUAAGUUAAUCUAAUUAACAAAUAUAGAUAAUCAUCCGAUAAAAGAGUAAAUUAGGUGAUGAUCUCUUUAUAUAUGCAAGUAAUGGAAUGAAUGUGAUGAAAAAUAAAAUAAAAAAGUAAGGGGAGAAAUGUUGUAAAUAAAGUGUUUUUAUUGUAGUUCAACGACCUAUCCACUUCCGCACCUUGACAUAUUUCACAAUUUUAAAAGUUUUCUUAAUCAUGAUUCUCUUUAUUAUUCUUUAAGUCCGGAUUUCUUAUGUUUCAAUAGACUUUUACAAUCACUAAGAUAGUGUUUGUUUUUUCACUUAAUUCUAAAUAUAACUUAAAACUAAAUAAUAUUUAAUAAUAUCAGGAUUAGGUUGUUUUUUUUAUAACAUUUUAUUUCUAUAUAAUAUUAAAAAGUAAAGAAAAAUCAAUAUAUUAUUUUUUUCAUUUAAAAAAAGUCAAAUAUUUUGACUUUUUUUUAAGCUAAAAAUUUAUAAUAAAAAAUAAAAAACAAACAAACAAACAAACAACUUAAAGUGUAAAAAUAGAUUGUUUUCAAUAAAAAUUUAAAAAAAAACAAACACCUUCUAAAUAAAAUUCCUUAACCACUCGUUCAAUAGCUCCUUUAAGCACAAAAUGUAUUGAAGUGCUCACAAUGAAAAGAUAAACAAGUUUUGAUUCAAUAUAAUUUUGGGUUAUCUAAUUAAAAGGGUCAUUGAAAACCCAAUUUUAGAAAUAUAACCCUUCAUCAUUUUUUUAUCUCGUGUUAACAAAAAUGCUCUUAUUAUUUUCUUAUAAAAAUAAUCAUUUCUUUUAAAACACACUAUAAAUACUCCAAAUAGCCAAGGGCUUUUAUGUAAAAAAAAAUGAAUUACUCUUCAAAUAAAAAUAUUGGAGGGAAUAAAUUCACAAAUAUGAGGUAUUUCAUCCCUUUUAAAUAAUUAUUUCUAUAAUUUUAAGAGUUUAAGAAGGCUAGACAAAGACUAAUUAUUAGGCACAUUUUGUAAAAACACUAGUUAUUAGACACAUUUUUUGCUCAAUCAAGCAAUCACACAGUUGACUAAACACUAAUUAUUGGACUUUUUUUUUUUAUAAUAAGUGGAAGACAAGAAUACAAUCGACUACUUUGGUCAAUUAAGCAAUCAUUCAGUUGACUAUAAACUAGUCUUUAGACAUUUUUUUUUAUAAUAAUUGGAAGACAUGAAUACAAUCGAUUACUUUGGUCAAUUAAUCAAUUAUUCAAGAAAUUUAGAAAAAUAUUGGAUAAAAGAUAUAUAUAACGGAUUAUUUCAAAUUGAAACUUAAGAUCAUAAAUCUUACUUUUAAUGUUGAAAAAUCAUGUAAAACACAAGUUUUUAUCUUUGAAGUAAUCAAUUUCAUUUUUCACAAAAAAUCAUUAAUAAUACAUGAAUGAAUUCUUUUAAAAAAAUCUUAUAAAAAAUGUGAUUAUUUUUCAUUCCCAAAUAUUUAGGUUCUAAAGGUCAAUUUUAAAGCAUACUUAUCCUUACUAUGCCUUACAAGAAAAUCUAUUCUAUACAUAUGAUCUUGUAAAAAACUGUAAAUAAAAAAGAAAAAAAGAAAAAAAACCUCUCUUGUUUUCCUCUUUUGAUUGGAUAUCAUUAUCAUACUUAAAAUUAAAUAUUUAAUCAAAAUAUUAUUUUACUAUCAUCAAAAUUUAGAUUUAACCAAACUUUAGGCUAGUAUGUUGAUACGACAAGUUAAUUUUCUAUCUUAAAGUUUUAAAAACUUUUGAAAUUAAACAUUUUCUUACACAUUUAUUUUUAAAGUUUUUAGCAUAAAAUUUAAAAUUGAAGCUUUUAAAGGAAAACCUCAUAAUAUAAUAUACUAGAAAGACAUGGUCAAACAAAUAGAGACGAAGCCUCAAAAGGAAGGGGCAAUGGUUGAACCACUUGACAUUGUUGCCUACUACUAAGAUGGUGUAAGAAACAACAUAACCAAUGGAACAUAUGCACAUUAAACAUUGUACAAUUAUUAUAAAUGUCUUAUACAUUAUGUGUGAAAAUACCAAAAAAAAAGAAAAAUUAUAUUCAACAUUUACAUUUGUAUACAAACAAUGUUUUCGACAAUUUGAUAUAAAAAACAAAUAAAAAAAAUAAAGAAAAACAUACAAAUAUAUUUACAAUGGACAAACUUAUUCAAUUAGUAUAAAUAUCUUGUAUAUUUAAUACAAAUACCUUAUACUUUGUGAAAAUGUAAAAAUAUAGUAUUUAAUAUUUAUACAUGUGGGUAAGUAAUUUUUCUAAUGGUUUGAUUUAAAAAACAAAUAAUGAGAAUCAAGAAAAACAUGCAAAUAAAUUAGUGUGAAUGAUAAAGGGUGUUUUUUACCAUAAAUUUUCAUGGACUUAGCAUCAAUUAUGCAUCUAUAGAUGUUAACCCAAUUAGCAUAAUGUGAAAACCCUUGCACACAAUAUAUAAACCCUAUACUUGAAUUAGGAAGGACAAAAAAAAAAUAGUUAGAGCAAUUGGUACCAUCAAUGAUGACUUCACCUAAAGAAAGGUUAAUGAACAUUAUGUUCUCAACGGAGAGCAACUCUGGUAGAACAUAUGGAGUAAAUCAAUGCCCUUCUUUUAACGAUGAAGUAGCUAAGUCAUGAAAACAAGGUUUUGCUAACAACAUUAAAGGCAAGAAUUCCCCCAAUAUACUCCAAUUCAUAUUCAAUUCACAGACCUUCAACUAACUACUCUCAGUAACGAGCAAACCCAAGUCAAUACAUAAGAUUGAUUAUUACUUAUGAUAAUUGAAACCCUAAUUAAAUAAAUAAGGACACAAAUAUAUAUAUAUAUAUAUAGGGACAGUUGUGUUUUGGACCUAGGUGAACCCAAAAAUUAAGGUUUGGUUUAUAUAACUUACAUAAUUGAUGAAAAUGAUAUAAGAUAUCAAAAUAUCAAAAUACUCAUUGACCUUUCACAUAAGCUUUUUUGGUAUUUAUUGCACUACUAUUCAUUCAACCAUAAUAAUUCUAUUUUAACUAUUUGGAUUUUUCAUUGUUUUUUAAAACUUUUUAUUUAUAAAUAAUUGAAAAUCAACAUUAUUUUCUAUUUUAAAUUAUAAAUAAAGAAAAAUUACGUUCGAAAACUAUUUUAAAAAAUACUUUCUAAAAAAAAUGGUAAUAUGAUUUAUAUUUUUUAUAUUUUCUUUUAGAAAAAAAUAUUUAAUUAAAAAAUGAAAAAUAUUUUUAAAAAUAAAAAUUGGAAACCUUGUUUAGUACUAUUUUUUUUAUAUAAAAAUAAUAAAAAUAAUUAAAUUUCAUUUAUUGAUUAUCCAUUAAAUUUUAUAUGAAAAUUUUGUAUAAGAGUAAAAAGAUUCAAUAUCUUUAAAAAAAGAAAAAAAAAACAAAACAAAAAGUUAGAAAUGAGUAAUACUUAAUUGGGAAUAGAAAAUGGGAAAAAUUUUGAAAUUUACACUCACUAUAUGUCUACGUAGGGAUUAAGGGUAUUUUAGGGAUUAAUGAAGGAUAAUAUCUUUUAACUUAAUUUUUACAUUUUAUUUGGGUCUUGGGAUUAAAUGUACAUUAUAUAUGGAUCUUUGGUUAAUUUUUGGACCCAUCCGGACCCAAAACACAAUUCUCCAUAAAAAAAUAUUUAUUAAAAUAAAUAAAUUAAUAAAAACCAUUUAGAGAGUUUCAUAACUUAGGUGGUGUUUGUUUUUUUGGCUUUUUGGUGAAAACCAUUUAGUUUUAGAAUUUAGGUUGUUUGUUUUUUUACUUUUUCAUGACUUAUUAUAAACUUUUUACAAAAUAGAAAAAGCCAAAAUAUAUGACUUUUUCUAAAUAGAAAAAUAACACAAUGGUUUUUUUUACUUUUUAAUACUUAAUAGAAAUAAAAUAUUAUAAAAACAAACAACCUAAUAUUUAAUACUAUUAAGUAUUAAAGUUCUAUUUAGAAUUAAGUAAAAAAACAAACACCACCUAAGUGUCGAAGCUAUUGUAAGAAAAAAGUAUUAUAUAAUGUAGGGUUUAGGUUCAAAGUCUACCUAAGAUUAAAUUUAAGUCUUAAGACAAAUUCACAUUCAAAACUAGGUUUUUAAGUUAGAAAAAUAGACCCCUUAAACCAAUUAAAUGGUAAAAAAAAAUUACAAAGAAAAUUUCUCUAGCUGGUUUCUUCAUCUUGAAAACUAACGGAAACAUAUAUCAAUAUUUGGUAUGAAAAUUCGUAACCUUAGAAACACAGCUUUGAGUCUUGCUGAGAAAAACAAAGCUUAUUUGCUCGUAGACCAUCGUAGUGGUCGUCAUACCGUGUGAGGACCGGGGAAGCAUCUUUGCUCGUAGACCGGCUUUUGUAGUCUUUCUUUAACAAUUGCAAGUUGUCAGGAUUCCCUUCAUCCUCCUAUAUAAUAUUGUUUUUGGUCUUGUUCUGGUUGUAUCUCCGUGGAAGGAAGGAAGAUGAAUCAAGUUCCUUUGUAUGUAUCAAUGUCUCUGAUUCAUUUUUUGGUUCCUAGAAUCGAAUCCUCGCUCUGUUCUUGCUUAAUUUCUCCUUUUUCUGUUGGGUCUUUCACUGCAGGUUUAGCUCUGCACGGGAACUGGCAAAUUUGGUGCUGGCCUCCAAUCUAAUCGACUGUGCUUUCACCAAAAUUCUUGAACUUAAGAGAGGCCAAACAGCCUUGCCUGUUCAAUACAGACUUUAUCAACUGUCUUCCAAGUGCACAAUUGUAGCUUUUGUCUCUUCACCUGACUGCACUCAAUACCCUCUUCCUGGACAAGGAGAUUUAGAUCGGUCUCCUCUCUUUGACUUCCUCCGUACCGAAGAAUACCCGUCCGUCUCCAUUAACAGAGCAGCAUUAGACCUCUUUACCCCUCUCCAUGAUCAUCUCUCUGGACUAACAGAUGAGGUCAAAAUCUGAUACUUGUUUGAAUUUUCGUUUCCUUUUCGUUAACAAUUGUGAGACACGAAACAGCUUGACCAUGAGAUCUCCCUCAUGGAGUCGAACUACCUGAAGGAUAAGACGUCACACAUAUCCAUUUUCAUGGCAUCGUCACAUGACCCAUUGAUCGGUUGUGAUUCAACUCUUAAUAGGAAUACAGUAGAACCGGUGUUGGUAUCUGUCUUUAGAUCAGCUUGCAUAUAUCUUGUCACUGAAAAAGGAAUGUUCAGAAGUGAGAUUAGUGGCAUUAUUCUGACAUGGAUUUCAUAUGGUUACUUGUUUUGCAGUUGACUCGGAUUGAAGGUCAAUUAAUCAUCACUGGGCACUCCCUGGGAGGAUCCGUUGCUUCUCUCUUCACCUUACGCCUGCUAGACGGCAAUUUAUUAAAGCCCAAAUGCCAUCCCUUUUGUAUCACCUUUGGUUCACCCCUCAUAGGCGACUUUGGCCUCCAAGACUCCAAAUGGAAUUCUUUCUUCCUGCAUGUAGUGUCUAACCAAGACCCAGUCCCCGGACUCUUCCUCCCAUCCGGCAGAUCUCCGCCCACAUCCUCCCAUUCACAAACUACCGGUUACAAGCCCUUUGGGACAUAUCUCUUGUGCUCUGAACUUGGUUGUGCUUGUUUUGACAACCCUGAUUUAAUUUUGAGAUUGCUGAAAGUCAUAUCAUCAGAGGUUGCCGGAGGAUUGCAGGAUGUUGAUUAUGGGGAGAUUUUAAGAAACCUCAAGGAGAGGGCAAUCUGCAAGGGACUGCCGCAGGUGGGUGAACGGUUUGCAGAUCCAUUUUCAGCUGGGAUCAUCAUGGAACUUGAGACAAUUGGAUUUAAUCAAACAAAGGUAAACAGCUUUCUCCCAUCUAAUGAUGUUAUGAAACAUGGUUUACACUUCACCAUAUACUGCAAUAACUGCCCUAUUCAGAUUUAUCUUCUUGUUCUUUGGGAUCUUCCAUAACUCGUCUCAUUUUUAAAAUUCAUGCCAGCUGCUGCAGCAUAACAUUGAUAUCGACGCUAUGAUAAGAACAAUGGAAGAGGAAACCAGAAGCCUAAUCCAGAAAAAUAAAGCUUCCGAUGCCAAGAAACUGAAUGACAUAAAAAGAGACAUGGCCCAUCUAGAAUGGUAUAAGAAGAAAUCGGAAAUGGGUUACUACGAUUGCUUCAAAAACCAGGGGUCUAAAAGGGACAUCCACGUUGAACAGUUUAGGGUAAACCUCACAAAAUACUGGAAAGACAUGGUUGCACAAGUACAGAGGAAGCCCCAGAAGGAAGGAGCAACAUUUCGAACCCGUUGGCUCUAUGCAGGGACAGUUUAUAGGAGAAUGGUUGAACCACUGGACAUUGCUGCCUUCUACGGAGAGGGUAAAACAGACUACAUAAACAAGAAAAGAUCUCUUCAUUACCAGCUGUUGCAGCAAUGGUAUGAGGAAGAUGUGAAACCCCCCUCUAGAGAUAAGCUUGAUUCCAAGAAGCAAAAGGUGUCUGGUAUCCUAACUGAGGAUUCUUUGUUUUGGGCAUAUGUGGAGGAGGCCAUCUUGUCAUGCGAAUUGCUCAAGAGUCAAAACUGUACUCUUGAGCAGGGAAAAUCAUCAUGGGAUAAUCUGGUUAAGUUCGAGGAGUAUGUAAUGGAACAGAUUAACAACUAUGCAGCGUCCCCUGAGAUUUUCUCGAGGGAAAGCAGCUUCAUGAAAUGGUGGGGACUGUAUGAGGGCUACAUAGAUACUUGCAGUAAUUCCCAUGGGUCGCCAUUGAUCAACUUCAUGAAGGAUCGUAGGUAUAUACAGUAUGGACGUUAGAGGGGCAAUCCAGUUUGUGUGUUGUGUUUGUUGUUUUGUGAGCGUUCAAUGGAUAAAACUAGAAAGAGUGUGACCUUUUUCCCUUUUUCUUGGUUGCUGCCCAUAUUCUCAGCACUAUUUUCUUCCUUCUUUUCCUCAGUUUUUUUUGUUAAGAAAUGAAUAUUAUGAUGUUGCUGGGAUGCACUUUCAUUGUUGUUCUAUUAAAUUGUGUUUUAUUUAUAUCCUAAACAAAUAAAUGUAAACAAGAAAAUCAAAUAAGACUUCAAAGAGUCUUUUCCUUCAAAAAAAAAAAAAAUGGGGAAAAAGAAAAACAUUUUUGUUUAGAUUCAACUCCACCAAAACUUGCAACAACUUCCCAUUGAAAAAUUCCUUUUAAGCUCUGAAUGACAUAAAACUAGAUAUGUUCCAGCUAGAAUGGUACAAGAAAGAAAUCAACAGAUGAGAACAAUGGGUUAUUAUGACAGCUUCAGAAACCUGGGGUGUAAAAGAGACAUUAAAAUGGAACCGAUGGGAAGACAUGGUAAAACACGUAGAGAGGAAGCCUCACCAGGAAGGGGCAGCUUUGCAAACCCUCUGGCUCUGUACAGGAACGAAUUAUAGAAAGAUUGUUGAACCACUUGACAUUGCUGCCUACCACAGAGAGGGUGGAAGACACUACAUAACCAAUGGAGGAUCUAAACAUUACACGCUAUUGGAGCAAUGAUGCAAUGAAGAGGAGAAGGGGGCUUUGUCUUCUCAUGCAAAUUGCUCUCAGAGCUCAGAACCUACUCCUGAAGGGAAAGAAUCAUCAUGGAGUGAUCUGGUUAAGUUUGAGGAUUUAUUUAUAUAAUUGAACUGAUUGGAAGCUAUGCAGUGUCGGCCCCCACCCGAGCAGCUUCAUGAAACGGUGGAAAGAGUUGGAAGAAGUCAUAGAUACUUGCUAUAGGAGCUUCAUGAAGUAUGGAGAGGUAUGGCAUAGAUACUUGCAGUGUCUGAAUUUCCCAAAUCCAAUUUCAGAUUGUGUACUUAGAUUCGUGGAACUUGUUUUCUUGCUUUUUGUUAGGUACAAUUGAGAUGGGCUGAACCGCAAGGCCCGCCAGGAUGAACAAUAUAAUGGGCCUGAAUUUUAAACCAGUGGAUGGGCUUUGGACUGGAUUCAGCUGUCUGAGCCCAAUGAGUAUUGAAUGUGUUUCUGUAUAAAAUUAAAUUUUUAACAUUGAAAUAUAAGGACUUACUUAAAAACACAUUUGGUAACUUUUUUUUUUUGGUUAAUAAUAGAUUGUUUAAAAAAAAAUUAAAAAAAUAUUAUUUUUUAGAAUAAAUUUGAGGCAUGUUUAGGUAUUUUUCGUGGUAAAGAGUUUAGAAGCAAUGAGAAUAUAUAUAGAAUACUUUAAAACUUUUGCAUAAUACUUACUUACAUGAUGCUUUCAUAAAAAAUAAAUCAAUAAAAACAAUUUUCAUAGUUGAAUUUCAAAACAUAAAACAACUCAGAAUUGUUUUUAAGAAUUGUUCUUAGAAAUAGUUUUCUAUUAAGUCACAUUCAAGGAAUCGUUUUCAUAUAUGCAAGUAAUGGAAUGAAUGUGAUGAAAAAUAAAAAAUAAAAAGUAAGGGGAAAGAUAUUGUAAAUAAAGUGUUUUUAUCGUGGUUCAAUGACCUAUCCACUUCCACACCUUGAUGUAUUUCACAAUUUUAAAAGUUUUCUUAAUCAUGAUUCUCCUUAUUAUUCUUUAUGUCGAGAUUUUUUAAGUUUUAAUAGACUUUUUCAAUCACUAAGGUGGUGUUUGCUUUUUCACUUAAUUUUAAAUAUAACUUAAAACUAAAUAAUACUUAAUAGUAUCAACUAUUAAGUUGUUUGUUUCUAUAACAGUUUAUUUCUAUAUAAUAUUAAAAAGUAAAGAAAAAUCAACAUGCUAUUUUUGUCAUUUAAAAAAAGUCAAAUAUUUUGAAUUUUUUUAUUUAGCUAAAAAUUUAUAAUAAAUCCUAAAAAGAUAAAUAAUAAUAAUAAUAAAUAAAUAAAUAAAUAAAAACAAAUAAACAACUUAAAGUCUAAAAACAAAUUGUUGUCAACAAAAAAUUAAAAAAACAAGCACUUUCUAAAUAAGAUUCCUUAACCACUCGUACAAUAGCUCCUUUAAGCACAAGAUGUAAUGAAUGAAUACAACUUUGGUGAAAUAACUAAAGUGCUCACAAUGAGAAAAUAAACAAGUUUGGAUUCAAUAUAAUUUUUGGCUAUCUAAUUAAAAGGGUAAUUGAAAACCCAAUUUUGGAAAUAUAACCCUUCAUCAUUUUUUUUACCUCAUUUUAAUAAAAAUACUCUUAUUAUUUUCUUAUAAAAAUAAUCAUUUCUUUUAAAACAUACUAUAAAUACUUCAAAUAAUCAAGAGCAUUUAUGUAAAAAAUGAAUUACUCUUCAAAUAAAAAUAUUGGAGGGAAUAAAUUCACAAAUAUAUGGGGUAUUUCAUCCCUUCUAACUAAUUAUUUCUAUAAUUUAAAGAGUUUAAGAAGGCAAGACAACUAAAUAAAUGAAGUUUUCAAGUUAUUGUCUCUAUCAUAAAUAAAGUCCAAUAAUCACAUUUGUAUCGUUUUGUACAAAGACUAAUUAUUAGGCAUAUUUUGUAAAAACACUAAUUAUUAGACACAUUUUUCGCUCAAUCAAACAAUCACACAGUUGACUAGAAACUAGUUGUUGGACAUUUUUUUUUAUAAUCAUUGGAAGACAAGAAUACAAUCGACUACUUUAAUCAAUUAAGCAAUCAUACAGUCGACUAUAAACUAGUCAUUGGACAUUUUUUUUAAAAUCAUUGGAAGACAGGAAUACAAUCGAUCACUUUGGUCAAUUAAUCAAUUAUUCAAGAAAUUUAGAAAAAUAUUGGAUAAACGACAUAUAGUGGAUUAUUUCAAAUUGAAACUUAAGAUCGGAAAUCUUGCUUUUAAAUCAUGUAAAACACAAGUUUUUAUCUUUGAAGUAAUCAAUCUCAUUUUUAACAAAAAAAAUCAUUAAUAAUAUAUGAAUGAAUUCUUUUAAAAAAUGUGAUUAUUUUUCAUUCCCAAAUACUUAUGUUCUAAAGGUCAAUUUUAAAGCAUACUUGUCCCUACUAUGCCUUAUAAGAGAAUAUAUUCUAUACAUGUGAUAUUGUAAAAAAGUUUAAAAAAUAAAUAAAUAAAUAAAUAAAACCUCUUUUGUUUUCCUCUUUUGACUAUAUAUCAUCAUUAUCAUACUUAAAAUUAAAUAUUCAAUCAAAAUAUUAUUUUAUUAUCAUCAAAAUUUAAAUUUAACCAAACUUUAGGCUAGUACGUUGAUAUGACAAGUUAAUUUUCUAUCUUAAAGUUUUAAAAACUUUGAAAUUAAACAUUUUCUUACACAUUUAUUUUUAAAGUUUUUAGCAUAAAAUUUAAAAUAAAAAAAUACAUUAUUUUCAAAUUCAUUUUGAAAAUUUUUAUUUUAAAAAUAAAAAAUUUAAUAAAAAAAAAUGCAGGCCAGUUUUUUUUCCCUCUUUUUACCCUACAGUUUAAUUAAUUUGAGGUUAGAGGAAAGCUAUGAAAGAAAGAAAAUAAAAAUAAAAAAGAAAAUGAAAGAAUGAAAAAUAUAGCAAAAAAAUUUAAAAGAAAAAAUCUACAAGCUAAUAUUUUUUUCUUAUUUGAGAUGAUAUUUUAUAUUUAGCUUUACUACAAGCUAAAGUCACCAAAACCAUGAUCACAAAAGGGUAAUAUUGAUAUAAUGAAAGAUUAUGAAAAAAAAAAAGUUCUAUAACAAGCAAUAUUUGCUUGACUUUCAUUUAAAAAAAUUUAAAAUCAAAAUACUUUUAGUAAAAUUAUCUAAACAUGUCAAACCUAAACGAAGUGAGUGUUUCAUAUUAAGUUAUUUUUUAAGCCAAAAAACUUAUUUUAAUAGAAUUAAUCACAUAGAUAAAAAGUUGCUAUCGUGGUGGGAAAAAGGUUUUCUUUCAUUUAUUAAAUGCUAAUAAAUUUUGAAUUAUUGAAUUCAUAAAUCUUUUAAUAAAGGUCUCAUUACGUUACAUCUAAGGUUUUAUUGUGUUGGCAUCUUAUGUCUGGUGUUAUUAUUUAUUUUAUAUCCAUUUUAUUGUUUUAUAGUUUAAUCUCAUUUGAUUGUACUAUCAUUAAAUAAUCUAAAUUUGAUUACUAUGAGAUUUUAAAGUUAGAUAUGAUGUCAAUCAUGGUAUAGAUUUUGAAAGAUAUUAUCAAAUCAAAUAUUUAGGGUAUUUGAUAAAUCAAUUUAAUAACUUAAAAUGAUUUAAUAAUUUAUUUAUAUUAAUUUAAAGUUUUCAAAUAAAUUUUUUUAUAAAUAUAAUUUUAGAUUUAAGUAAAGAUAAGUUAAUUUUAAAUUUUAAAUUAAAAUAAUUAACUCAUUCUUAGUUAAAUCUAAAACUAUAUUUAAAAUAAAUAAAAACAGAGAUGGAUAUAAAUUAAGUCAAUAACUCACUUUAAAUCAUUGACUUGAUUUACCAAACACUUCAAAAUCUCACAUUUACAAGACCUGAAGUGGAUCCUUUUCAAUGAAUAUUGUCAUAUUUGUUGGAGUGUACCCAAAAUCCAAAUAUUUCAGUCUUUUUUCUCUUUAUUUCAUUUUAAAAUAAAAUAAUAAUCAUUAUACCAUGAACUUUCAAAAGUACCAUCAUUAUGUCAGUGGAGAUGGGAAGCUGAAAGCCUGAAACAAAUCAAUGGUGAAAGACACCAGUUUUCCAACAACAAAAAAGGCCAAAUCUGAUUCCAACUCAUCCAGUCUAUCUGUGCACUUUGACAACUGAAACACUUUAUUCCAAUUCACAUUUCACUAGAAAUUCCAUUCCAUAUCUACUCAAUAUUCACUGAAAAGGGUUUACAAUGAAAUAACAACUNNNNNNNNNNNNNNNNNNNNNNNNNNNNNNNNNNNNNNNNNNNNNNNNNNNNNNNNNNNNNNNNNNNNNNNNNNNNNNNNNNNNNNNNNNNNNNNNNNNNGAAAUUCAAAGAGCAACACUACUAACAUCUCAGAAUCCUCUGUGCAAUCACUACCAAAACUUUUCCUUACACAUGAAUGAAGAAAUGAGGCUGUACAUAUAUAAUCUGCGGAUGACAACAUGCAAGAAUGCAAAUGGGGGAAAUGGGGAAACAAAUAUUCUAGACAGGGUCUUAUUGGAAAGAAUCUAGGAUUGGGGCUUGAAGAAAAAUGGAAGAAUGGCAUCAUAAGACUGCAGUCUGAGUGGGAGAAGAAUUCAGGCGGGAGAGACAGGUUGAAGAUGAGUUCAGUAAUGAGCUCUCAAGGCUUGGGCAUGGUUCAGGGAACACCCAUUGGGAGAACCCAGAGACAUUUGAGCAAACCCAAGAGAUGGAGGCAGGAGGAGUAGUUGAUAGGGAGAUGUUGGAUAGACAAAUGGAAGUGAACGGGGAUUCUUGAAUACCAGUGAAGCUUCCAGCAAUGGUUAUGUUUGUGCCGAUCACAUUCUGCAAGGUGAUGUGAUCCAAGACAGGGAGUGCAUUGGGGUCAAAAUGGUCAUCUGGGUGGGAGCCGAUUUGGCCUGUUGCACUGAAGGCUGUGUGGAUGUUUUCCAUUGCGACAUCUGAUAUGAUGAUUUCUUGGAUAUAACCACCUCUUCCCUUGGUAGUUCUGAACUCGAUGCCACUGAAUGAGUUGUAUAGGUGGACCUGCUCCACACAGACGUUAGAAAUGCCACCAGACAUCUCACUACCGAAGGCCAGGGAAGAGCCAGAUGAUGAUUGAAGGUUGACCCGUCUGAUGUGUACAUUUGUGGUGGGUCUACCAUAGGCAAUGCCAUAUUCAUCCCAGCCACUCUUGAGUGCAAUGGCAUCAUGGCCCAUGGCAAUGCUGCAAUCCUCUAUGCAGGUGCUAUCUGAAGAAUCUGAAAUCAAAACAUUAUACAAAGUUGACUUAGCAAAAUUCUUUUCAUGACUGAACCCUUCCUGAACAUAGAAAAAAGUAAAAUUAUAAUCUACAUGAACCACUAAACAAACCACAGGUAACAACCUGUUUCCUCUUUCAACAAAUAUCCCUAUCAAUAUACUUAAACAUUCAUAUAUACAUUAAAAACUAAUAUAGAUUUUCAGAAAUAUCUUACCAAUCGGAAGAGGGUUCAAACAAUAAACAAAGACAAAACAAUUCUAGCACUGAUAAUUAAAGAUCCAAAAGUUUAUCAAAUUUAGUAAAAAGAAACAGACCAAAACCUACAAAAUUAUUGUUAAACAAGUGAAAAACAAAACAUUAAAUUAUCUAUUAUCACUCUUGGAGACUGACGGUAUGAAAAUAAGUUCAAAUGCCUCAGAUUCCUUCACCUCCAUUCUUAAUUCCUAGCCUCUUCAACAACCAAGUUUCAAGUACCUUAAUUCGUCCAUCUCCAGAACUGAUAGCAAAGAAGUCCAAAGAAGGGGUAAAGGUUGUUAAUAAAUCUCGGAUAUUCGAUGGGCCCAUGGUCCUGUAUCAAAAGAAUAAAUUAAAUGUCAAAGUCCUUACAAUUCAUAAUUUACAAAUUAGAAAUGAAAUUGUAGAUAUACGAGAGGUGUUCCAAGACGUUAUUAAGGGAGAUUGACUGUAACUGCCUAUUGAUAAAGAAACAAAACAACUUACCAUGACGAAAAUAAUAUAGCUCAAAAUCACAGUAGGAAGUGCCAAAAAAAGGUGGCAAUCCUCUGAAACAUAUGAUGAAGAAGAUAUAAAAAAAUAUAUAAGAAAGACACAGCAUUAAAAAUUUUAAAGCUCGCCAAUAUGUUGCCAAUCCAGUAAAUCAUUUCAUUAACUAAACUGAUUCAGCACUUAAGCUCUAAUAACCUUUGUUUGGUAGCCGAGAAAAUGGAAGAGAAGGAGGAAAAAAAUGCAAUAUCAUGCUAUCUGUUACUGAAUCAAGCCAAACAAUUCAGUUAAACUUGGCUGAACAGCAGUUUUAGCUUUCUUAGCCUGAAUAACGAAAAUUCAAGAUUUUAUCUAUUUUACUUUCCUGCAUUUUCUCAGCUUCCCGGUUUGUCUACGGACAAACUAGAGGAAAAUAAAAUAAAAAAUAAAAAGAAAACUAAAACCAGGUAUUUUCAGUUGUUCUCCAUAAAAAGCAAACGAAAAAUCAACAGAACUAAAUCCUGAGCAAUUACCGAUCCGGCUCAGGCUGAAUUUCCGGUUCUCUUAGAAAAUAUUAUAUAGCAGUUCCAAUAAGGGACCGUCGUGCAUCAUUAUACUAAUUUUCCUCCGUUUUUCGGCAACCAAACAGAGGAUAAACUUGUUUUGAGGAGAAGAUGCACGCUUACCUGUUUUGGCGACCGGCGGCGGCGAGAUGCAAAGAAAAAGAGAGAACGAGAGAGGGGUUUUACCUGUUUUGGCGACCGGCAGCGGCUAGAAGCAAAGAAAAAGAGAGAACGAGAGUGGGGUUUUAGGAACGCAGCCGCGUAGCUGCUCAUUUCGCAAGGGCCCCUUUUUUAUUUCUUUUUCUUUUUUUUCAAUUUUAGGAUUUUUCAUUUUAGCCUCCAUAUUUGAGUGUAUUUAGAUUUGUGGAACCUGUUUUGGGGCUUUUUGUUAGGUACAAUUGAGAUGGGCUGAACCGAAAAGCCCGCCAGGAUGAACAACAUUAAUGGGCCUGAAUUUUAAACCUAUGAAUGGGCUUUAUACUGGAUUCAGCUGUCUGAGCCCAAUGAGUAUUGAAUGUGUUUCUGUAUAAAAUUAAACUUUUAACAUUGAAAUAUGAGGACUUACUUAAAAACACAUUUGGUAACUUUUUUUUUUGGUUAAUAAUGGACUUUAAGAAAAAAUUAAAAAUAUAUUAUUUUUUAGAAUAAAUUUGAGGCAUGUUUAGGUAUUUUUUGUGGUAAAGAGUUUUGAGAAGCAAUAGAAAAUAUAUAGAAUACUUUAAAAACUUUUGCAUAAGAUACUUACUUACACGAGGCUUUCAUGAAAAAUAAAUCGAUAAAAACAAUUUUCAUAUUUGAAUUGCGAAACAUAAAACAACUCAAAACUGUUUUUAAGCAUUGUUCUUAAAAAUAGUUUUCUAUUAAGUCACAAUCAAGGAAGCUUUUAUCUUUUAUUUUUCUAUGUUUCAUCCUUGCAUAAAGGGAGUAUAAAGACUAAAGUUAAUCUAAUUAACAAAUUUGGAUAAUCAUCCAAUAAAUGAGUAAAUUAGGUGAUGAUCUCUUUAUAUAUGCAAGUAAUGGAAUGAAUGUGAUGAAAAAUAGAAAAAAGUAAGGGGAGAAAUGUUGUAAAUAAAGUGUUUUUAUUGUGGUUCAAUGACCAAUCCACUUCCACACCUUGACAUAUUUCACAAUUUUAAAAGUUUUCUUAAUCAUGAUUCUCCUUAUUAUUUUUUAAGUCCGGAUUUCUUAAGUUUCAAUAGACUUUUACAAUCACUAAGAUGGUGUUUAUUUUUUCACUUAAUUCUAAAUAUAAGUUAAAACUAAAUAAUAUUUAAUAAUAUCAAGUAUUAGGUUGUUUUUUUUUAUAACAUUUUAUUUUUAUAUAAUAUUAAAAAGUAAAGAAAAAUCAAUAUGUUAUUUUUUUCAUUUAAAAAAAGACAAAUAUUUUGCCUUUUUUUUAAGCUAAAAAUUUAUAAUAAAAAAAAAAAAGCAAACAAUUUAAAGUGUAAAACAGAUUGUUUUCAACAAAAAUUUAAAAAAACAAACACUUUCUAAAUAAGAUUCCUUAGCCACUUGUACAAUGGCUUCUUUAAGCACAAAAUGUAAUAAAUGAAUACAACUCUGGUGAAAUGACUAAAGUGCUCACAAUGAGAAGAUAAACAAGUUUGGAUUCAAUAUAAUUUUGGGUUAUCUAAUUAAAAUGGUCAUUGAAAACCCAAUUUUGGAAAUAUAACCCUUCGUCAUUUUUUUACCUCAUUUUAACAAAAAAAAGCUCUUAUUAUUUUCCUAUAAAAAUAAUCAUUCCUUUUAAAACACACUAUAAAUACUUCAAAUAGCCCAAGGUUUUUAUGUAAAAAAAAAUGAAUUACUCUUCAAAUAAAAAUAUUGGAGGGAAUAAAUUCACAAAUAUGGGUAUUUCAUCUCUUUUAACUAAUUAUUUCUAUAAUUUUAAGAGUUUAAGAAGGCUAGACAAAGACUAAUUAUUGGACUUUUUUUUUUAUAAUCAAUGGAAGACAGGAAUACAAUCGACUACUUUGAUCAAUUAAGCAAUUAUACAGUUGACAAUAAACUAGUCGUUAGACAUUUUUUUUUAUAAUAAUUGGAAGACAUGAAUACAAUCGAUUACUUUGGUCAAUUAAUCAAUUAUUUAAGAAAUUUAAAAAAAUAUUGGAUAAAAGAUAUAUAUAUAUAUAACGAAUUAUUUCAAAUUGAAACUUAAGAUCAGAAAUCGUGCUUUUAAUGUUGAAAAAUCAUGUAAAACACAAGUUUUUAUCUUUGAAGUAAUCAAUUCAUUUUUCACAAAAAAUCAUUAAUAAUACAUUAAUGAAUUCUUUUAAAAAAUCUUAUAAAAAAUGUGAUUAUUUUUCAUUCCCAAAUACUUAGGUUCUAAAGGUCAAUUUUAAAGCAUACUUAUCCUUACUAUGCCUUACAAGAAAAUCUAUUCUAUACAUAUGAUUUUGUAAAAAAGUGUAAAUAAAAAAAAUAAAAAAUAAAAAAUAAAAAAUAAAAAAAACCUCUCUUGUUUUCCUCUUUUGAUUGGAUAUCAUUAUUAUACUUAAAAUUAAAUAUUUAAUCAAAAUAUUAUUUUACUAUCAUCAAAAUUUAGAUUUAACCAAACUUUAGGCUAGUAUGUUGAUAUGACAAGUUAAUUUUCUAUCUUAAAGUUUUAAAAACUUUUGAAAUUAAACAUUUUCUUACACAUUUAUUUUUAAAGUUUUUAGCAUAAAAUUUAAAAUUAAAGCUUUUAAGGAAAAACCUCAUAAUACAAUAUACUAGAAAGACAUGGUCAAACAGAUAGAGAGGAAGCCUCGAAAGGAAGGGGCAAUGGUUGAACCACUUGACAUUGUUGCCUACUACUAAGAUGGUGUAAGAAACAACAUAACCAAUGGAACAUAUGCACAUUAAACAUUGUAUAAUUAUUAUAAAUGUCUUAUACAUUAUAUGUGAAAAUACGAAAAAAAAAAUAAAAUAAAAUUAUAUUCAACAUUUAUAUUUGUAUACAAACAAUAUUUUCAAUACUUUGAUAUAAAAAACAAAUUAAAAAAAUGAAGAAAAACAUAUAAAUAUAUUUACAAUGGACAAACUUAUUCAAUUAGUAUAAAUAUCUUGUAUAUUUAAUACAAAUACCUUAUACUUUGUGAAAAUGUAAAAAUAUAGUAUUUGAUAUUGAUACAUGUGGGUAAGUAAUUUUUCUAAUGGUUUGAUUUAAAAAACAAAUAAUGAGAAUCAAGAAAAACAUGCAAAUAAAUUAGUGUGAAUGAUAAAGGGUGUUUUUUACCAUAAAUUUUUAUGGACUUAGCAUCAAUUAUGCAUCUAUAGAUGUUAACCCAAUUAGCAUAAUGUGAAAACCCUUACACACAAUAUAUAAACCCUAUACUUGAAUUAGGAAGGACAAAAAAAAAAAUAGUUAGAGCAUUUGGUACCAUCAAUGAUGACUUCACCUAAAGAAAAGUUAAUGAACAUUAUGUUCUCAAUGGAAGAGCAACCCUAGUAGGACAUAUGGAGUAAAUUGAUGCUCUUCUUUCGACAACGAAGUAGCUAAGUCAUGAAAAUGGGGUUUUGCUAACAACAUUAAAUGCAAGAAUUCCCCAAUAUACUGCAAUUCAUAUUCAAUUCAUAGACUUUCAACUAACUACUCUCAAUAACGAGCAAACCCAAGUCAAUACAUAAGAUUGAUUAUUACUUAUGAUAAUUGAAACCCUAAUUAAUAAAUAAGGACACAAAUAUAUGUAUAUAUAUAUAUAUAUAUAUAUAUAUAUAUAUAAAAUAGAGACAAUUGUGUUUUGGACCCAGGUGGAUCAAAAAUUAAGGUUUGGUUCAUAAAACUUACAUAAUUGAUGGAAAUGAUAUAAGUUAUCAAAAUACCAAAAUACUCAUUGAUCUUUCACGUAAGCUUUUUUUGUCUUUAUUGCACCACUAUUCAUGCAACCAUAAUAAUUCUAUUUUAACUAUUUGGAUUUUUCAUUAUUUUUUAAAACUUUUUUUUUAUAAAUAAUUGAAAAUCAACAUUAUUUUCUAUUUUAAAUUAUAAAUAAAGAAAAAUUACGUUCAAAAACUAUUUUAAAAAAUAAUUUCUAAAAAAAUGGUAAUAUGAUUUAUAUUUUUUAUAUUUUCUUUUAGAAAAAAAUAUUUAAUUAAAAAAUGAAAAAUAUUUUUCAAAAUAAAAAUUGAAAACCUUGUUUAGUACUAUUUUUUUAUAUGAAAAUAAUAAAAAUAAUUAAUUUAUUAUCCAUUCAAUUUUAUAUGAAAAUUUUUUAUAAGAGUAAAAAGAUUCAAUAUCUUUAAUAAAAGAAAAAAAAAACAAAACAAAAAGUUAGAAAUAAGUAAUACUUAAUUAGGAAUAGAAAAAGGGAAAAAUUUUGAAAUUUACACUCACUAUAUGCCUAUGUAGGGAUUAAAGGUAUUUUAUGAAUUAAUGAAGGAUAAUAUUUUUUAACUUAAUUUUUACAAUUUAUUUGGGUCUUGGGCUUAAAUGUGAAUGAUAUAUGGAUCUUUAGUCAAUUUUUGGGCCCAUCCGGGCCCAAAACACAAUUCUCCCUAAAAAACUAUUUAUUAAAAUCAAUAAACUAAUAAAAACCAUUUAGAGAGUUUCAUAACUUAGUGUCGAAGCUAUUGUAAGAAAUAAGUAUUAUAUAAUGUAGAGUUUAGGUUUAAAGUCUACCUAAGAUUAAAUUUAAGUCUUAAGACAAAUUCACAUUCAAAACUAGGUUUUUAAGUUAGAAAAAUAGAUCUCUUAAACCAAUUAAAUGGUAAAAAAAAUUACAAAGAAAAUUUCUCUUGCUGGUUUCUUCAUCUUGAAAACUAACGGAAACAUAUAUCAAUAUUUGGUAUGAAAAUUCGUAACCUUAGAAACACAGCUUUGGGUCUUGCUGAGAAAAACAAAGCUUAUUUGCUCGUAGACCAUCCUGGUGGUCAUCAUACCGUGUGAGAACCGGGGAAGCAUCUUUUCUCGUAGACCGGCUUUUGUAGUCUUUCUUUAACAAUUACAAGUUGUCAGGAUUCCCUUCAUCCUCCUAUAUAAUAUUGUUUUUGGUCUUGUUCUGGUUGUAUCUCCGUGGAAGAAAGGAAGAUGAAUCAAGUUCCUUUGUAAGUAUCAAUGUCUCUGAUUCAUUUUUUGGUUCCUAGAAUCGAAUCCUCGCUUUGUUCUUGCUUAAUUUCUCCUUUUUCUGUUGGGUCUUUCACUGCAGGUUUAGCUCUGCACGGGAACUGGCAAAUUUGGUGCUGAGCUCCAAUCUAAUCGACUGUGCUUUGACCAAAAUUCUUGAACUUAACAGAGACCAAACAGCCUUGCCUGUUCAAUACAGACUUUUUCAACUGUCUUCCAAGUGCACAAUUGUAGCUUUUGUCUCUUCACCUGACUGCACUCAAUACCCUCUUCCUGGACAAGGAGAUUUAGAUCGGUCUCCUCUCUUUGACUUCCUCCGUACCGAAGAAUACCCGUCCGUCUCCAUUAACAGAGCAGCAUUAACCCUCUAUACCCCUCUCCAUGAUCAUCUCUCUGGACUAACAGAUGAGGUCAAAAUCUGAUACUUGUUUGAAUUUUCGUUUCCUUUUCGUUAACAAUUGUGAGACACGAAACAGCUUGACCAUGAGAUCUCCCUCAUGGAGUCGAACUACCUGAAGGAUAAGACGUCACACAUAUCCAUUUUCAUGGCAUCGUCACAUGACCCAUUGAUCGGUUGUGAUUCAACUCUUAACAGGAAUACAGUAGAACUGGUGUUGGUAUCUGUCUUUAGAUAAGCUUGCAUAUAUCUUGUCACUGAAAAAGGAAUGUUCAGAAGUGAGAUUAGUGGCAUUAUUCUGACAUGGAUUUCAUAUGGUUACUUGUUUUGCAGUUGACUCAGAUUGAAGGUCAGUUAAUCAUCACUGGGUACUCCCUGGGAGGAUCCGUUGCUUCUCUCUUCACCUUACGCCUGCUAGAUGGCAAUUUAUUAAAGCCCAAAUGCCGCCCCUUUUGUAUCACCUUUGGUUCACCCCUCAUAGGCGACUUUGGCCUCCAACACUCCAUAUGGAAUUCUUUCUUCCUGCAUGUAGUGUCUAACCAAGACCCAGUCCCCGGACUCUUCCUCCCAUCCGGCAGAUCUCCGCCCACAUCCUCCCAUUCACAAACUACCGGUUACAAGCCCUUCGGGACAUAUCUCUUGUGCUCUGAACUUGGUUGUGCUUGUUUUGACAACCCUGAUUUAAUUUUGGGAUUGCUUAAAGUCAUAUCAUCAGAGGUUGCCGGAGGAUUGCAGGAUGUUGAUUAUGGGGAGAUUUUAAGAAACCUCAAGGAGAGGGCAAUCUGCAAGGGACUGCCGCAGGUGGGUGAACGGUUUGCAGAUCCAUUUUCAGCUGGGAUCGUCAUGGAACUUGAGACAAUUGGAUUUAAUCAAACAAAGGUAAACAGCUUUCUCCCAUCUAAUGAUGUUAUGAAACAUGGUUUACACUUCACCAAAUACUGCAAUAACUGCCCUAUUCAGAUUUAUCUUCUUGUUCUUUGGGAUCUUCCAUAACUCGUCUCAUUUUUAAAAUUCAUGGCAGCUGCUGCAGCAUAACAUUGAUAUCAACGCUAUGAUAAGAACAAUGGAAGCUGAAACCAGAAGCCUAAUCCAGAAAAAUAAAGCUUCCGAUGCCAAGAAACUGAAUGACAUAAAAAGAGACAUGGCCCAUCUAGAAUGGUAUAAGAAGAAAUCGGAAAUGGGUUACUACGAUUGCUUCAAAAAUCAGGGGUCUAAAAGGGACAUCAACGUUGAACAGUUUAGGGGAAACCUCACAAUGUACUGGGAAGACAUGGUUGCACAAGUACAGAGGAAGCCCCAGAAGGAAGGAGCAACAUUUCGAACCCGUUGGCUCUAUGCAGGGACAGUUUAUAGGAGAAUGGUUGAACCACUGGACAUUGCUGCCUUCUACAGAGAGGG